Molecule: ribosomal RNA, 494 nt
Filed under: uncultured bacterium
Lineage: Bacteria
Description: partial 16S ribosomal RNA
Rfam family: Bacterial small subunit ribosomal RNA
Source: RNAcentral
GACGAACGCUGGCGGCGUGCUUAACACAUGCAAGUCGAACGGAAAGGCCUGCUUUCCCUUGUGGAUUGCGGGUACUCGAGUGGCGAACGGGUGAGUAACACGUGAGUGAUCUGCCCCCAACUUGGGUAUAAGCCUGGGAAACUGGGUCUAAUUCCCGAUAGGACUGCAGGGUGGUGCCUGUGGUGGAACACGAUUUUCUAGUUGUUGGGGAUGAGCUCGCGGCCUAUCAGCUUGUUGGUGGGGUAAUGGCCUACCAAGGCGGCGACGGGUAGCCGGCCUGAGAGGGUGGACAGCCACAUUGGGACUGAGAUACGGCCCAGACUCCUACGGGAGGCAGCAGUGGGGAAUAUUGCACAAUGGGCGGAAGCCUGAUGCAGCGACGCCGCGUGGGGGAUGACGGCCUUCGGGUUGUAAACUCCUUUCGACCGCGAGGAAGCCACCUGGUUGGAAGGGUGGUGACGGUAGUGGUAGAAGAAGCACCGGCUAACUACGUG